UUAAAACUCAAUUGACGUGAUUUUUCAUAUUUAAAUUUAACUUAAAUAUGUAAAUAAUUUAAAUAUUUAAUCAAUACCAAUUCAACUAGACUUUAUCCUAGCUUCUUAAAUAGGGAUUCUAUUUUUGUCUCAGCUAGGGGACAUGGAAAAUCAAUGAUAAAUGAGUUAAAGGUUCACAUUCACCCUCGAUGAGAACCCUUUGACGUUUAAGUCAAAAAGGAGAUUAGUUCUAGAAAUAGGGUGACCAUGAAAAAAGUGUAAAGAGAAUAGGGGAGGAGGAAAAUAAAUGUAAGGAGUAAGAAAAAGAAUAAAUGAAUACUAUCCCUCAUAGGUAUCUUUUUCCAAUAGAUGUGUGCCAUCUAUCAAUGUCAGAGUAAGUGAUUGAAUUAUUGGUGAAUAUACAUAUAUUUACUUUUGUAAGGUGAAUUUCCAUUUUAGGGAAGUGGGCAUAGGUUAUCGUAAAGGUUAGCUUGUGCCUUAAGAUUUGUUCAAUGAUAUUAGUUGUUUUUAUAAUUAUUUUUAUAAUUAUUAAGAUUAAGGUUUGCUUUGAUUUAGGAAUCGCCAAUUAUGGUUUCUGAAUUAUAGGUUCAAUGAAAUCAUGAACUUGAAUUAAAUUGUCAUGAAAAAGUUUGAGAGACGAUUUCUAAAUCGCCGUUCUGGUUCUAGUCCGAUUUAAAAUGAUUUGACAUAUGGUUCAAAUUAAAGAAGAACGAUUCAAAACAGUUUAGAGGGCUGUUUAGAGGCAGCUUAAGUGUGAUUUGGAUGAAAAAAAUUGAAAGAAAAAGUUUAUUAAUUUGAAUUAAGUUAUACUUAUAAAAAUUUUAAUUUUUCUUGUAAAUCUUUCAAUUAAAAUAAGAUAAGAAAAAA
Molecule: unclassified non-coding RNA, 867 nt
Filed under: Hevea brasiliensis (rubber tree)
Lineage: Eukaryota; Viridiplantae; Streptophyta; Magnoliopsida; Malpighiales; Euphorbiaceae
Source: RNAcentral